CCGGGAGAGGUAAGAGGUACGUACAGGGGGUAGGAGUGAAAUCUUGUAAUCCCUGUGGGACCACCUGUGGCGAAGGCGUCUUACCAGAACGGGUUCGACGGUGAGGACGAAAGCUGGGGGCACGAACCGGAUUAGAUACCCGGGUAGUCCCAGCCGUAAACGAUGCUCGCUAGGUGUCAGGCAUGGCGCGACCGUGUCUGGUGCCGCAGGGAAGCCGUGAAGCGAGCCACCUGGGAAGUACGGCCGCAAGGCUGAAACUUAAAGGAAUUGGCGGGGGAGCACAACAACGGGUGGAGCCCUGCGGUUUAAUUGGACUCAACGCCGGACAACUCACCGGGGGCGACAGCAAUAUGUAGGCCAAGCUGAAGACUUUGCCUGAAUCGCUGAGGAGAGGUGCAUGG
This 401-nucleotide ribosomal RNA is filed under the name uncultured archaeon. RNAcentral describes it as "bacterial SSU rRNA". It matches the Rfam family "Archaeal small subunit ribosomal RNA", at positions 599 to 997 of the family's 1478-position model. The record is from RNAcentral.